RNAcentral lists this ribosomal RNA (459 nucleotides) under uncultured bacterium. RNAcentral's name for it is "partial 16S ribosomal RNA". It matches the Rfam family "Bacterial small subunit ribosomal RNA", at positions 338 to 795 of the family's 1533-position model. The record is from RNAcentral.
CCUACGGGUGGCAGCAGUGAGGAAUAUUGGUCAAUGGGCGCGAGCCUGAACCAGCCAAGUCGCGUGAGGGAAGACGGUCCUAUGGAUUGUAAACCUCUUUUGUCGGGGAGCAAAAGACGCCACGCGUGGCGUUCCGAGAGUACCCGAAGAAAAAGCAUCGGCUAACUCCGUGCCAGCAGCCGCGGUAAUACGGAGGAUGCGAGCGUUAUCCGGAUUUAUUGGGUUUAAAGGGUGCGUAGGCGGACUGUUAAGUCAGCGGUAAAAGCCCGGGGCUCAACCCCGGCGAGCCGUUGAAACUGGUUGUCUUGAGUGAGCGAGAAGUAUGCGGAAUGCGUGGUGGAGCGGUGAAAUGCAUAGAUAUCACGCAGAACUCCGAUUGCGAAGGCAGCAUACCGGCGCUCAACGGACGCUCAUGCACGAAAGUGUGGGUAUCGAACAGGAUUAGAUACCCGGGUAGUC